Molecule: ribosomal RNA, 406 nt
Filed under: uncultured bacterium
Lineage: Bacteria
Description: partial 16S ribosomal RNA
Rfam family: Bacterial small subunit ribosomal RNA
Source: RNAcentral
AUUGAACGCUGGCGGCAGGCUUAACACAUGCAAGUCGAGCGAGCGGCGGACGGGUGAGUAAUGUCUGGGAAACUGCCUGAUGGAGGGGGAUAACUACUGGAAACGGUAGCUAAUACCGCAUCCCAUCAGAUGUGCCCAGAUGGGAUUAGCUAGUAGGUGGGGUAAUGGCUCACCUGGGCGACGAUCCCUAGCUGGUCUGAGAGGAUGACCAGCCACACUGGAACUGAGACACGGUCCAGACUCCUACGUGAGGAAGCAGUGGGGAAUAUUGCACAAUGGGCGCAAGCCUGAUGCAGUCAUGCAGCGUGUGUGGAGAAGGCCUUCGGGUUGUAAAGCACUUUCAGCGAGGAGGCGUUACUCGCAGAAGAAGCACCGGCUAACUCCGUGCCGGCGGCCGCGGUAAUUG